UGAGACGCAGAAGUACCAUGACCUGGCC
RNAcentral lists this non-coding RNA (28 nucleotides) under Homo sapiens (human). The record is from RNAcentral. Lineage: Eukaryota; Metazoa; Chordata; Mammalia; Primates; Hominidae.